Molecule: small RNA, 1378 nt
Filed under: Pongo abelii (Sumatran orangutan)
Lineage: Eukaryota; Metazoa; Chordata; Mammalia; Primates; Hominidae
Description: retained intron
Source: RNAcentral
AUAAAGAGAGAGGGCAAAGAGGCAGCAAGAGAUUUGUCCUGGGGAUCCAGAAACCCAUGAUACCCUACUGAACACCAAAUCCCCUGGAAGCCCACAGAGACAGAGACAGCAAGAGAAGCAGAGAUAAAUACAGUCACGCCAGGAGCGCGCUCUCUCUCUCUCUCUCCCUUCCCUCCCUCCCUCUCUCUCUGCCUGUCCUAGUCCUCUAGUCCUCAAAUUCCCAGUCCCCUGCACCCCUUCCUGGGACACUAUGUUGUUCUCCGCCCUCCUGCUGGAGGUGAUUUGGAUCCUGGCUGCUGAUGGGGGUCAACACUGGACAUAUGAGGGUGAGUAGAUCUCGAGGCCUCCCGACAACCCUUUCACACUGGGACCUCCUCACCUGGCAGGAAGACACACUGUGCGGCCCCACGGAUAUGACCUUCCUGGCACCGAGCCUUUGGACCUGCACAACAAUGGCCACACAGUGCAACUCUCUCUGCCCUCUACCCUGUAUCUGGGUGGACUUCCCCGAAAAUAUGUAGCUGCCCAACUCCACCUGCACUGGGGUCAGAAAGGAUCCCCAGAGGGGUCAGAACACCAGAUCAACAGCGAAGCCACAGUUGCAGAGCUCCACAUUGUACAUUAUGACUCUGAUUCCUAUGACAGCUUGAGUGAGGCUGCUGAGAGGCCUCAGGGCCUGGCUGUCCUAGGCAUCCUAAUUGAGGUGGGUGAGACUAAGAAUAUAGCUUAUGAACACAUUCUGAGUCACUUGCAUGAAGUCAGGCAUAAAGGUGAGCCUUAAAAAUCUAUAGCAGGAAGUAAGAUUAGACUUUCAAAAAGUAUCCUUAAAAGCCUUGGGAUGAAGCAAUUACAUAGAGCCAAGGAAUUUUGCUUCUGGGAGCCCUAUCUCGGUAAGCUAGGGCACACUGAAAGGAAGAUGAGUCCCAGUCUGUUCUCCCCAGAUCAGAAGACCUCAGUGCCUCCCUUCAACCUGAGAGAGCUGCUCCCCCCACAGCUGGGGCAGUACUUCCGCUACAAUGGCUCGCUCACAACUCCCCCUUGCUACCAGAGUGUGCUCUGGACAGUCUUCUAUAGAAGGUCCCAGAUUUCAAUGGAACAGGUAAGUGGUGAAGAAACGAGGUGAGGUGAGAUACAGUUCUAACUUCAGACCCCUUCCCACUCCCCAAAGUAACACCUCUCCCACGCUUCUGCUCCUCAGCUGGAAAAGCUUCAGGGGACAUUGUUCUCCACAGAAGAGGAGCCCUCUAAGCUUCUGAUACAGAACUACCGAGCCCCUCAGCCUCUCAAUCAGCGCAUGGUCUUUGCUUCUUUCAUCCAGGCAGGAUCCUCGUAUACCACAGGUGAAAUGCUGAGUCUAGGUGUAGGAAUCUUGGUUGGC